GGCGAGAGACGAUAGCGAACAAGUACCGUGAGGGAAAGAUGAAAAGAACUUUGAAAAGAGAGUUAAACAGUACGUGAAAUUGUUGAAAGGGAAACGAUUGAAGUCAGUCAUACUAACGGGAAAUCAACCUCUUGAGUUUGGUCUCGUGGGUUUCGAAAAGUUUUAAAAGCCUGCGGAUUUUCGAGAUUGGGCUCUUCUGGUGUACUUUCUCGUGCGGUUAGUCAACAUCGGUUUUGAAUGUCAUAAAAUGA
Molecule: ribosomal RNA, 251 nt
Filed under: Glomus sp. Ab
Lineage: Eukaryota; Fungi; Glomeromycota; Glomeromycetes; Glomerales; Glomeraceae
Description: partial large subunit ribosomal RNA
Rfam family: Eukaryotic large subunit ribosomal RNA
Source: RNAcentral